Molecule: long non-coding RNA, 305 nt
Filed under: Haliotis rubra (blacklip abalone)
Lineage: Eukaryota; Metazoa; Mollusca; Gastropoda; Lepetellida; Haliotidae
Description: uncharacterized LOC124290766, transcript variant X1
Source: RNAcentral
CCGAUUUGUUGAAGGAGAAAUUCAUCCAUGAACAUUUGAACAUCUUUAUGUGCAUGGUUUCUUUAUUUUAUACCCCAUCUAGAAAUCCCGUGGUUUUGUGGUGGACCAACAGAUUAAUACCCAUGUAGAAAUCCCGAGGUUUGUGGUGGACCAACAGAUUGUACCCAUGCAUAGAAAUCCAGUGGUUUGUGGUGGACCAGCACAGAUUUACCCAUGUAGAAAUCCCGUGGUUUGUGGUGGAUAACAGAUUGUACCCAUGUGGAAAUCCCGUGGUCUGUGGUGGACCAACAGAUUGUACCCAUGUA